This 403-nucleotide ribosomal RNA is filed under the name uncultured prokaryote. RNAcentral describes it as "bacterial SSU rRNA". It matches the Rfam family "Bacterial small subunit ribosomal RNA", at positions 355 to 774 of the family's 1533-position model. The record is from RNAcentral.
UGGGGGAUAUUGCACAAUGGACGAAAGUCUGAUCUAGCAACACCGCGUGUGCGAAGAAGGCCUUCGGGUUGUAAAGCACUUUUUGGAAGGCUUAGGAAGGAAUGUACUUCCAGAAUAAGUCUCGGCUAACUACGUGCCAGCAGCCGCGGUAACACGUAGGAGGCAAACGUUAUCCGGAUUUACUGGGCGUAAAGCGCGUGUAGGUGGUUCUGUAAGUAGGGCGUGAAAGCUCCUGGCUCAACUGGGAGAGGCCGUUCUAAACUGGAGAGCUAGAGGAUGGUAGAGAGAGGUGGAAUUCCGGGUGUAGCGGUGGAAUGCGCAGAUAUCCGGAGGAACACCAGUUGCGAAAGCGGCCUCCUGUACCAUUCCUGACACUCAGACGCGAAAGCUAGGGUAGCAAACG